This 497-nucleotide ribosomal RNA is filed under the name uncultured bacterium. RNAcentral describes it as "partial 16S ribosomal RNA". It matches the Rfam family "Bacterial small subunit ribosomal RNA", at positions 28 to 507 of the family's 1533-position model. The record is from RNAcentral.
GAUGAACGCUGGCGGCGUGCCUAAUACAUGCAAGUCGAGCGAACGGACGAGAAGCUUGCUUCUCUGAUGUUAGCGGCGGACGGGUGAGUAACACGUGGAUAACCUACCUAUAAGACUGGGGUAACUUCGGGAAACCGGAGCUAAUACCGGAUGAUAUUUUGAACCGCAUGGUUCAAAAGUGAAAGACGGUCUUGCUGUCACUUAUAGAUGGAUCCGCGCUGCAUUAGCUAGUUGGUAAGGUAACGGCUUACCAAGGCAACGAUGCAUAGCCGACCUGAGAGGGUGAUCGGCCACACUGGAACUGAGACACGGUCCAGACUCCUACGGGAGGCAGCAGUAGGGAGUCUUCCGCAAUAGGCGAAAGCCUGACGGAGCAACGCCGCGUGAGUGAUGAAGGUCUUCGGAUCGUAAAACUCUGUUAUUAGGGAAGAACAUAUGUGUAAGUAACUGUGCACAUCUUGACGGUACCUAAUCAGAAAGCCACGGCUAACUACGUG